ACGCCGGCGGUGUGCCUAAUACAUGCAAGUCGAGCGCACUGGCCCAACAGAAAUGACGUGCUUGCACUGAUUUGACGUUGGAUUCCCAGUGAGCGGCGGACGGGUGAGUAACACGUGGGCAACCUGCCCCAAAGCGGGGGAUAACAUUUGGAAACAGGUGCUAAUACCGCAUAACUUGGAAAACCACAUGGUUUUCCAAUAAAAGAUGGUUUCGGCUAUCACUUUGAGAUGGGCCCGCGGUGCAUUAGCUAGUUGGUAAGGUAACGGCUUACCAAGGCGAUGAUGCAUAGCCGAGUUGAGAGACUGAUCGGCCACAAUGGAACUGAGACACGGUCCAUACUCCUACGGGAGGCAGCAGUAGGGAAUCUUCCACAAUGGGCGCAAGCCUGAUGGAGCAACACCGCGUGAGUGAAGAAGGGUUUCGGCUCGUAAAACUCUGUUGUUGGAGAAGAACGUGCGUAAGAGUAACUGUUUACGCAGUGACGGUAUCCAACCAGAAAGUCACGGCUAACUACGUGCCAGCAGCCGCGGUAAUACGUAGGUGGCAAGCGUUAUCCGGAUUUAUUGGGCGUAAAGCGAGCGCAGGCGGUUGCUUAGGUCUGAUGUGAAAGCCUUCGGCUUAACCGAAGAAGUGCAUCGGAAACCGGGCGACUUGAGUGCAGAAGAGGACAGUGGAACUCCAUGUGUAGCGGUGGAAUGCGUAGAUAUAUGGAAGAACACCAGUGGCGAAGGCGGCUGUCUGGUCUGCAACUGACGCUGAGGCUCGAAAGCAUGGGUAGCGAACAGGAUUAGAUACCCUGGUAGUCCAUGCCGUAGACGAUGAGUGCUAGGUGUUGGAGGGUUUCCGCCCUUCAGUGCCGAAGCUAACGCAUUAAGCACUCCGCCUGGGGAGUACGACCGCAAGGUUGAAACUCAAA
RNAcentral lists this ribosomal RNA (917 nucleotides) under uncultured bacterium. RNAcentral describes it as "bacterial SSU rRNA". It matches the Rfam family "Bacterial small subunit ribosomal RNA", at positions 33 to 905 of the family's 1533-position model. The record is from RNAcentral.